UCUGCCGGUGCUGCUGCGCCCAGCGGAGCUCCGAGCACGUGCGCAGAGGCUGGCUGUGGCAGAUGCAACUGCAGGAUGACUUGAAAGUAGGGCAUCCUUCACCCAUCUGAAGGGAGGAAAUAGUGGCAGGUGACAGUCUGCAUGUGCAGUUUUCAGAUGCCUUCACCUGAAUGACAUCUACCUCCGUCAGGACCCCAGAUGUCUGACAGCCCUGUGUGACACCAAGAUAAGUAACAAUCUGGCUGCUGACUACCCUAUUGGACAACUCCAAUAUUAGAGAACAUUUCCACCAAUUCAGAAAGUUUAUUAUGCACUGCUGUUCUAGAGCAGGGAUCAGCAAACUUGCUGUAAAGAGCCAGGAUCCCGUUGAAGAUACCACAUUACACUUAGGCUCCUGUUGGCCAUGACAGCUUCUUAGACUUGUUUUUAAUGACCUUGACAGUUUUGUUUUUUUUUUGUUUGUUUUUGAGACGGAGUCUCUGUCAUCCAGGCUGGAGUGCAAUGUAAUGGCUCAAUCUCAGCUCACUGCAACCUCUGCCUCCCGGGUUCAAGUGAUUCUCCUGCCUCAGCCUCCCCAGUAGCUGGGAUUACAGGCACGAGCCACCGUGCCCAGCCGCCUCCUAAAUUCUUAAAACGUUCCAUUUUUAUUCUGUGGUCUUAGUUUAUUCUGUCAUGUAGAGAAUAGUGGUUGAGCCUGUUGUCUUUUGAGAGUGGAUGCUGUAGUCCUUACAUGGCUGACUUUCACCCCGUAAGCUUAUAGUAGAGGAUGGGGAUUUUGUUAUCAGCUGCUAAAAGGGAGAAGCCAAGCCCAGAACUAAGGGUUCUGAUGAGUUGAAGGAGAGGGAAGAUGCCCCUCAAGGCAAA
Molecule: small RNA, 864 nt
Filed under: Pan troglodytes (chimpanzee)
Lineage: Eukaryota; Metazoa; Chordata; Mammalia; Primates; Hominidae
Description: processed transcript
Source: RNAcentral